UACGUAGGUGGCAAGCGUUGUCCGGAUUUACUGGGCGUAAAGCGUGCGCAGGCGGUCUAUUAAGACAGGUGUGAAAUCCCCGGGCUUAACCUGGGAACUGCGCUUGUAACUGAUAGGCUUGAGUGUGGCAGAGGGGGGUGGAAUUCCAGGUGUAGCAGUGAAAUGCGUAGAUAUCUGGAGGAACACCGAUGGCGAAGGCAGCCCCCUGGGCUAACACUGACGCUCAUGCACGAAAGCGUGGGGAGCAAACAGG
Molecule: ribosomal RNA, 253 nt
Filed under: uncultured bacterium
Lineage: Bacteria
Description: partial 16S ribosomal RNA
Rfam family: Bacterial small subunit ribosomal RNA
Source: RNAcentral